AACCUUAUGGACCUGCGGGCGUAUACCUGCGGAGGGAUCAUUAUAGAGUUUUCUAAACUCCCAAACCCAUGUGAACUUACCAUUGUUGCCUCGGCAGAACCUACCCGGUACCUACCCUGGAACUAGCUACCCUGUAGCUACCCAGGAACGGGCUACCCUGUAACGUCCUGCCGGUGGACUUCUAAACUCUUGUUAUUUAUAGUAAUCUGAGCGUCUUAUUUUAAUAAGUCAAAACUUUUA
This 240-nucleotide unclassified non-coding RNA is filed under the name soil metagenome. RNAcentral describes it as "partial contains 5.8S ribosomal RNA, internal transcribed spacer 2, and large subunit ribosomal RNA". The record is from RNAcentral.